Long non-coding RNA from Syzygium oleosum, 688 nucleotides. RefSeq lists it as uncharacterized. Lineage: Eukaryota; Viridiplantae; Streptophyta; Magnoliopsida; Myrtales; Myrtaceae. The transcript is spliced from 3 exons. The record is from RefSeq and is a predicted model, not a curated record.
UAGUCUUGUUUUGUCUAAGAAGAGAAUGGCUCAGAGUAUGCAAAAGAGUGCAACAAGCAUGCACGAAGCUAUGCCUGAUACAUGACAACGGUCUCAUUAUGCCACACAGAUGUGACGAUAUCGCAGCCAGGCAUGUAAAGAUCAUGAGCUUAGUCAACUUAAUAGCCGAAGGCAAACAUCAUGUCAGAGGUGACAGACCUUGGUGUCAAGCAUGACGGCACAGAGGAUCUGGGUGUUAUGCAUUGCGAUCCUGAGGUUGUUCAAGGUCUCCUGAUGAUACUCGUGAGUACCGUGAGAGAAAUUGAACCGAGCAACAUUCAUCCCCGCCCUAAGAAGCUUCUCCAGCAUUGGCACCGUUCGAGAAGCCGGACCCAGAGUGCAAACAAUCUUAGUCUUGGGGAUGCGUCCAUCAUUCGGAAGCUCCUUCAAUAUACCUUCAAUAUCAAUGUUUGCCAUUUCACUGACAAUAAUUCUUCUCUAUCUGCAAAUCGUAUUUUUGCGGAUUCUUGCUCUUCUCUCGAGGCAAAACAGAACAACCCAAGAUGUCCAAAGAUUCAAACUUUAGCAUCCACCAACACAAUUUCCAACCAAAAGAACAAAUAUUUCGGACAGAUCCAGCCUCAAAGAGAAAGAAACAAACGUCCCGGAAGGAGAAAAAGAAAGACAACGAUCAAUCAGAGAACCAAAA